AGUACUGUGAAAACGAUGUACGUGCCAUGAUUGCAAUCGAACUGUUUAUUAAGGACUUUAUUACGAAUCAGCUUUAACCUUAUUCUUUAAAGCUUUUAGUUUUGGUUUACGUGCCUUUCA
This 120-nucleotide small RNA is filed under the name Mycoplasmoides pneumoniae M129. RNAcentral's name for it is "Mycoplasma pneumoniae M129 ncRNA". The record is from RNAcentral. Lineage: Bacteria; Bacillati; Mycoplasmatota; Mycoplasmoidales; Mycoplasmoidaceae.